CAUGCCGUAAACGAUGAGUGCUAAGUGUUAGGGGGUUUCCGCCCCUUAGUGCUGCAGCUAACGCAUUAAGCACUCCGCCUGGGGAGUACGACCGCAAGGUUGAAACUCAAAGGAAUUGACGGGGGCCCGUACAAGCGGUGGAGCAUGUGGUUUAAUUCGAAGCAACGCGAAGAACCUUACCAGGUCUUGACAUCCCAGUGACCGCUCUAGAGAUAGAGUUUUCCCUUCGGGAACAUUGGUGACAGGUGG
RNAcentral lists this ribosomal RNA (249 nucleotides) under uncultured bacterium. RNAcentral describes it as "partial 16S ribosomal RNA". It matches the Rfam family "Bacterial small subunit ribosomal RNA", at positions 796 to 1041 of the family's 1533-position model. The record is from RNAcentral.